AACACCCGAAGUCGGUGGGGUAACCCGCAAGGGAGCCAGCCGCCGAAGGUGGGGUAGAUAAUUGGGGUGAAGUCGUAACAAGGUAGCCGUAUCGGAAGGUGCGGCUGGAUCACCUCCUUUCUAUGGAGA
Molecule: ribosomal RNA, 129 nt
Filed under: Paenibacillus monticola
Lineage: Bacteria; Bacillati; Bacillota; Bacilli; Caryophanales; Paenibacillaceae
Description: Paenibacillus sp. LC-T2 partial 16S ribosomal RNA
Rfam family: Bacterial small subunit ribosomal RNA
Source: RNAcentral